RNAcentral lists this ribosomal RNA (432 nucleotides) under uncultured bacterium. RNAcentral's name for it is "partial 16S ribosomal RNA". It matches the Rfam family "Bacterial small subunit ribosomal RNA", at positions 29 to 507 of the family's 1533-position model. The record is from RNAcentral.
AACGAACGCUGGCGGCAUGCCUAACACAUGCAAGUCGAACGAUACCUUCGGGUCUAUUGGCGCACGGGUGCGUAACGCGUGGGAACCUGCCCUUAGGUUCGGCCUAACUCCCCGAAAGGGGUGCUAAUACCGGAUAAUAUCUUCGACCCAAUGAUUUAUCGCCUUUGGAUGGGCCCGCGUUGGAUUAGCGAGUUGGUAGGUAAAAGCCUACCAAGGCGACGAUCCAUAGCUGGUCUGAGAGGAUGAUCAGCCACACUGGGACUGAGACACGGCCCAGACUCCUACGGGAGGCAGCAGUGGGGAAUAUUGGACAAUGGGCGAAAGACUGAUCCAGCAAUGCCGCGUGAGUGAUGAAGGCGUUAGGGUUGUAAAGCUCUUUUACCCGGGAUGAUAAUGACAGUACCGGGAGAAUAAGCUCCGGCUAACUCCGUG